UGGACCUCGUCGAACCUCAACUAAAGGCCAAACUCAAAUCAAAUUUCACCUCGAAUUAAAGAUUUCAACCCCGAUAUCUGUUCUACCAAAACUCGAUGGUUUUCCAAUGAGUUUUUAGAGUUGGGAUUGAUUAACCGACUAUUUUUGUUGUUGUUUCAAUGUUUUGGGGAUGGGAUGGGACUGGCAGCUUCACCGGAGCUCUGGAAAGCUCAGUGGUAGCCGAAAUUGAGAACGCGACUGGUGGCGACAAAGUUUUCCUAUGAAAACUCAUCCAAAUUUCCCUUUUGCACGUUUUCUCUCUGUUUUUCUCUAAUAUCGCCUACCCUGAUCUCUGUUUUUCUCAAAUCUCUCCCACCCCAAUCUCUCUCUCUCUCUUUAAUUUUUCUUUAUUCCUCGAUUGUGUUUCUACUCUUCUGAUAGGUCUAUGUGUGUAAGUGUGUGCUAGAUGCAUGAUUUGGUUAUGAAUUGUGAGAAGAAAGUGGUGUGGGUCUGUUAAUGAUGUGGUGCCCAUUUCUUUGUGUCAAUGAUGUGGAGAAGAAGGCCAAAAUGGAGGCGCCCCUAUAUUGAUAUUGUGAAUGGUGGGUUCGUGUAUGUGAAUGAUGGAGGAGUGUGUCUUCCUUCUUCUCUGUGUGUAAAUAAUUGAUUGAGAAAAAUGGAGGUCCCUUUUACUCUCUAAUCAUUUUUUUUCAAAAAAAAAAAAUGAGUGUAGUCUAUUGUUAAUUGUGUUAUUGCAGUUGGAAAAAGUGGAGUGGGCUCGUGGGUGUGUAAGUUUAGUUGGUAGGAUUAGGUGAUGCUAAGUGGAGUAAGGAAUAGGUAGGGGUAGGGUAGGGUGUAGGGAGAGGUAAAUGAGUAAAUAUUAAUUUUUAAGGCGGAUAAAAUUAUGUGUCUAUAUUAUGUCCCUUUUUGGAUGUAAAUACAAAGUGUUUUCAUACAAAGAAGUAGACAACGAGACAAAAUUUUGACCAACCAUUAUUUAGAAGAAAGAAACAGAAGGAAGAAGGGCAACCGAGUCUUGAUUUGGCUAUCUUACCUAUCCUGAGUUAUGAGAGAGUCAAGUCACAUAUAGUUCCAGGGUUUAAAAGGAGAUGGACUAUACCGAGUUGGAGAGUCGAGUGAGGUCCCAUUGAGGUUUCGAUCCACGGCCCUAUCAUUACAUCAAAAUGAAAUUGCAAGUUAAAAAGAUAAAUAAAAUUACAAAAGACUUAUCUAUACGACAUCUCUUGAUUCUUGUCUCGGGUCUCCGAUGCUUUCAAAAGUGACAAAAGAUCUGAUCUUCUUUCAGUUGAACUUAAAGAUAGAUUCUUUCUCCGUACAAAAUUUGGUGUUGGAGAUGAACUCAAAGUUGGCCAUGUUCUGCAAGUGGUAUUUCUGAACUUAAACCUGAAUUUAAAAUUCUUCUCCCUAUUCUUCAGGCGGGUUCCUGACUUACAAUUUUUACCCUGUUGCUUGGCUUUUCAUUUAUUCACCUUGUUUCUUGAAUUUCAAUUUCAUCACCCCAUUCUUCAGACGGGCUCCUGACUUGCUAUUUCAUCACCUUUCAAUUUUAUCACAGUGUUCUUCAGGCAGGAUCCUGACUUGCUAUUUCAUCACUUUUUAGUUUCUUUACCCUGUUCUUCAGGCGGGCUCCUGACUUUUAAUUUCAUCACCCUAUUCUCCAGGCGGGCUCCAGAAACCACAUUAAAACUAGAAAGAAAAAUAUCCCAAAUGCAUGUUAUGACAAAGAAAGAUUUCCUUUUUUCUGAAAGUAAUGUCUCAUUUUUCAGGAGGGUCCUGAACAUAAAGUAAAUUCUCAUUUUCUAGGAGGGUCCUGAACAUAGAAUAAAUUCGUAUUUUUCAGGAGGGUCCUGAACAUAAAUUAAGUUUUUCAUUUUCCAGGAGGGUCCUGAACAUAAAUUAAAUUCCUAUUGUCCCGAAGGGUCGUGAACAUAAAGUAAAUUCUCAUUUUCCAGGAGGGUCCUAAACAUAAAGUAAACUCCCAUUUUCUAUGAGGGUCUUGAAUGAAAGUAAGUUCCCAUUUUUCGCGAGGUUCCUGAACAUAAAGUAAAUUUCUAUUUUUCAGGAGGAUCCUGAACAUAAAGUAAGUUCCCAUUUUCCAGGAAGGUCCUGAACAUAAAGUAGUGUCCCAUUUUUCAGGAGGGUCCUGAACAUAAAGUAAAUUCCUAUUUUUCAGGAGGGUCUUGAAUGAAAGUAAAUUUCCAUUUUUCAAGAGGGUCCUGAACACAAAGUAAAAUUCUCAUUUUUUAGGAGGGUCCUAGACAUAAAAUAAAUUCUCAUUUUUUAGGAGGUUCCUGAACUGAAGUAAAUUUCCAUUUUUUCAGGAGGGUCCUGAACAUAAAAUAAAUUUUCAUUUUCUAGCAGGGUCUUGAACUGAAGUAAAUUCCCAUUUUCCAGGAGGGUCCUGAAUAUAAAGUAAGUUUCCCAUUUUCCUGGAGGGUCCUGAACAUAAGUUAAAUUUCCAUUUUCCAGGAGGGUCCUAAACAUAAAGUAAAUUCCCAUUUUCCAGGGGGGUCCUGAACAUAAAAUAAAUUCUCAUUUUUUAGGAGGGUCCUGAACAUAAAGUAAAUUCUCAUUUUCCAGGAGGGUCCUGAACACAAAGUAAUAUCCCAUUUUUCAGGAGGGUCACAGAUGUACUUUUCCAAUGGUCGCUAAAUUAAGUGGAGCAAAUAUGCCCCUAUUUGAACAAAGAAAAUUUGUCAGUUAAAAACUUAGUGGUGGCUUGUAGCACUUGGCUGUCCCGACACCUGCUCUAGUGUUCAUUCCCUUUUUUAUGUUUCAGAUUGCUAGCACUUUCCUCUGCUUUGUCACGUCAUUGACCCAAACUCAGAUUAAUAAGAGUGACUCUAAAAUAAACACAGUAUCUCUGCUUUGUCAUGCUUCUCGAAUAAACCCUUUAAACCUUGAUAUUUCCAUGAGUUCCCAGACUUGUCUGUCGACAAAACUUUUGCAUGCCUUAUUUCAGCUCACAAUCAUGUCCCUUUCAUGUGCUGGCCUUUUGUUUUGCUUUGUCCAAUUGAAGAAGCUGGUAGCUAGUUUUGAAAUUCUUUCUCACUUGUUUUGACAUGGACUAGACAUAAAGACAAGAGAAAAAAUGACAAUGAUUCUUUUCAUUUGGAUAACUGACUCAAGAAAAUACAAUAAAAUAUAGAGAAGAAAGAAAAGACAAUGAACGUCCCCAUUUGAAAAAGAUAAAAGAAAAGUUUAUCUAAAAAUAACAGUCAACUCUAAUAAUUAUGACAUGCAUAUCGGAUUAAAUCGUCUGAUCUUUCUAUCCAAAACUCUCACAAAUUAUUAUUAAGUUAAUGACCCUGAAAUUGAGUUGGUUCCUUGGGCCAAUUGCAUUCGGAGACCUCAUUCGGCUAAUGGCGCCUUGAAAGGUUUUUGCCAACAAGCCUCUCUCAUUUUCUUUUUAUCACCAUUGCCUUAUGGUAUCCGAGAGGGUUUUUCACUAAUAAGAUUGUCUUAUUUAUAUCUUUCUCAACUCACAGUCGUCUUACAGUGCCCGAGAGGGUUUUCACCAAUAAGACUCUCUCAUUUUUAUUUCUCUCCAGGUUGCUUAUGCAGAAGAAGACAAGUAGUACCAAAAUGCAUCAUCACAUUCAUUGCAUGCUUAGCCUUAACAUUUUCAAAGAUUGAUCUGAAGGUCAUUCUUUAGUUGUAACUUGGCUUUUGGAUAUGGUUAGAAAGAAAGAAUGGCAUGAGGCCCAAACGACACUCGAAGUGGGUUGGGACUUACAAAUUUUAAAAUCGACUCAAAUAAUGAAAAUUAACUCAUUCCCCCAUUUCUUUUAACAGGGCAAUUCUAAAUUGUUUAUUUGGUUGGACCGAGCCCGGAGUAAGGCAGCCUAUGUAUCUCAUCCUCAAGAGAGGGAAUUAGGUCACGCGUAGUUCUGACAACUUGUUCCUUUGCUUGACUCUGAUUUUUUUGCUUUUUAUUGACUCUUUUUCUCUUUGGGACCUUUUCUGACUCUAUUUUUCUUGAUAUUCUUCUCUUUUCUUUCUUUUUGGACACAUUUUUCUCUCUUCUUUUUUUUUUUGAAACUUUUCUGACACUAUUAUUUUGCUCGACACUUUUCUUUUGAACUUUGCUGACUUUAUCCUGAUUCCAAAAGAGGGGUAUGAAAGAAAAUAGAACUAAAGCUCAAAUGGGGUAAACAAAGGAUGAUACAAUGUUCGGAUAGCAGAAUAAAAUGUCUUCGUCAUAUCAAUCCUUGAAAAUGCAAGUACAUGUCAUACAAUAUGAUAGUGAAAGAUGAAGAUCAUUUGUGAUAUUUUUUACAGCACUAAUUUUAACUGAUCCUGCACGUCACUACUUCUUCUGCAAACUUCGCUUUUGUUGUACAUUCCUCAUGCUUUCUUGGAACUGAUUUUUUUGUUCCUUUUGACUUAGGAUCACACAUCCACUAUCUGACCUAAUUGAGACAUGUCUUUCAAUUGAUGACCAAGUUAUUCUUGUGAUUCUCAAAACAAUUGCCUUAAUUUUCAAAGAAGGCUUCAACUUGUCACCAAAUGUCCCAGCACUCUACAUAUUUUCUCAGAUGCUUUUUUUCUAACUUUAGCCCUCUGAUUCAAUGUUCAAUCUUAAACUGGAUUUAAAAAUCUAGCUAAAAAUUCCACAAGUAUGUCAUAACACUAGAACCAACUUAAAAUGAACUAUAUAAAGUACACACAAAAACAACUUAAAAUAAGAUUGGACACCACAUUUUAUUAAAAGGAAAGAUAGAAGGGUUUAAAUAAAAAUGAUAGAGAAACAAAACAAGAUAGAUUCCGAACUACAACCCUAAAAUAAUUUGGAAAACAGACAGUAAAACAAAACAAACUACCAACAAUCCUCCCAAGUAAGAAAAAGAGUGAUUUUCCAAUUGCUAAGUUUGAUACCUUAGCCACUAAUUUUCACAUCACAUGAUUAGAGCUUUCUUCACUGUCAAUGUUCUGCACUAUAAUUGAUCUAUCUUAAGUCAUAUUUUCAAUUUCUCUUUUUAAAUCUUGACAAUCUUCAAUACUAUGACCUUGAGCAUCAGGAUGAUACACACAUCAUAUAUUAGGAUCAAAAUUUCUUGAACGCCGAUUAAGAGUGUACCCAAGAAGAGGAGUGAUCAUCCCCCAUUGUACCAAUAUAUGAAAUAAGCUGGCAUAUAACUCUUCAAUUGGUGUGAAGCUAUCUCUCGACUUCUGUCUUAUUUCAUUAUUUGGCUUGGAUUGAAAAUCAGGCCUAGAAGGGCUUUGGCAUGUUUGUGGAGUUAGAGAAAGAGUGGUGGAAGUAUUGGGAUGAUUUUGGCUUGGAAUGAAUUCUGAGUCAUGUUGCAGUAUAUCAACAACAGUAGGAAACUAACUUUACCAUUUUAGUGGAAAAAUCAAGCUAUCUAUAGGAUCAAUAGCGGGGAAUGGAGGAGGAGGCAACCCACUAGCCCAAGCUCGAUACAUUUCCGUCAUUUGUUGCCUUAGUCUCCUAAUUUCUUGCUUUAAGCUCUCAUGUUCCUGACUCUUUGUUUGAUCCAUGAUGCCAUUCUCUAUAUCCUUGUUGAACACAACUAAUCAUUCCUUGGAUUUGGUGUGAUGUGGAGUACUAGCCAGAAUGCCACAAUCCAACCACCUUAAACUAACUUAACAAUCUAACCACAAUCCAAUUAAUAUAUCCCAUGGUUUGACCACGAUCACUUGGUGAAGUAUAUCGGCUAGUAAGGCAAUAUGAAUAUAUAAACCCACAAAAAUACAUAAAAGAAUCAAUCAAACACACAAAAUAAAACAAAUAUAAAAUAUAGUGUCCAGUCCAAUUAAACACUCCAAAAAUAGAAAAAAUGUGAAAAUAUAAAUCCUAUUCUAAGCUAAUCCUAAAACUACGCUCCAAUGCCUUACCCGAUGCCUCGGGACUUCAUCACGAUCAUCUUCCAUCAACAUAAUACGUCGGGCAUUCCCCGGUGAAUAAAUACACAUGGCCUCAGGGCAUUCCCCGGCUAAAUAAAUACAUUUUCUCAAUACAAGGAAAAUAGAAAGUCAUUUACACCCACAUGCAACAUUCAACAAUCACAAUCCCUAUGUUUUGCCUACCUCGAUCUACCGUUUGCCUACUUAUUUAACAGCCUAACACAUAACACUAUCCCGUUCAACAAUAUUCAUACUUAAACCAAAUUAAACCAAAAUCAAUGAAUCUUAAUCCAUCCAGAUUCACCCUUUUUAUCAAUUUUUUAAUUUCGCUCUGAAUUCCCUUUUAACACUAAAUUUCCACCAUUCACGAUUAACAAUUUUAGCCAUCCACCAUCAAUAUAAUAUAACAUCCAUCAUUCACAUCACGCACAAAAUAAGAGAAAAAUUGAGACGAUAUCAAUCAAUCACAAAAAAAAUAAGAAUUAAUAAGAAUAAGAUUAGAGAGAUGGACCUUAAAUUGAGUGUUUCGAACUGUGAUUAUUAUUUCAUUGCACUUUUGAUGUCAAACCAAGAAACUGAUCGGAUCUAACGAACUGGACCUCGUCGAACCUCAACUAAAGGCCAAACUCAAAUCAAAUUUCACCUCGAAUUGAAGAUUUAUUCCCUAAUAUCUAUUCUACCAAAACCCGAUGGUUUUUCGAUGAGUUUUUAGAGUUGGGAUUGAUUAACCGGCUAUUUUUGUUGCUGUUUCAAUGUUUUGGGGAUGGGAUGGGACUGGCAGCUUCAUCGAAGAUUCGACAAGCUCAGCGGUAGUCGAAAUUAAGAACGCGACUGGCGGCGACGAAGUUUUCCGGUGAAAACUCAUCCAAAUUUCCCUUUCACACGUUUCCUCAUUGUUUUCUCUAAUCUAUCCCACCCCGAUCUCUGUUUUUCUCAAAUCUUUCCCACCCAGAUCUCUCUCUCUCUAAUUUUUCUUUAUUUCUCAAUUGUAUUUCUACUCUUCUGAUGGAUCUGUAUGUGUGAGUAUGUGUUGGAUAUGCGAUUUGGUUAUGAAUCAUGAGAAGAUAGUGGUGUGGGUCUGUUAAUGGUGUGGUGCCCGUUUCUUUGUGUUGAUUAUGUGGAGAAGAAGGCCAAAAUGAAGACGCCCCUGUAUUGAUAUUAUGAAUGGUGGGCUCGUGUAUAUGAGGAGUGUGUCUUUCUUCUUCUCUGUGUGUUAAUGAUUGAUUGAGAAAAAUGGAGGUCCCUUUUUCUCUGUAAUCAUUUUUUCCAAAAUAAAAAUAAGAGUGUAGUCUAUUGUUAAUGGGAAAAGGGUCAAAAAUACCCCUCUACUUUGAUUAAUUGGUUAACUUUACCCUUUAUUAUAAUAUGAGGUUAAAUUUACCCUUAGUAUUAUCAAACUAAACAAAGUUGCCCCUCAAUUGGAUGGAAUCCAUCUAAAAUAACUGAUUUCAAUAAACUUAACAAUUUUCCUUAUCUAAUAUGUUUUUAACCAACUAAAUCACCUAAUUAACUUAACCUUUUCCCCAAACAAACCCAUUUUCCCCAAAUUAACUAUCACCUUGUGCACCAGCACUGCUUAACCUUUUUCUUCAUUAAUUUGCAAUUGAUGUAAUAUCUGGAAAGUCCAAAGAUAAACCUCUUCAAGUAUACAAAAACCAAUCAAUUCCGACAAAAUAAUCAAAUGUGUCUGUGGAUUCAAUGUAAAACUUUUUUGAAUUGGUGGAGUCUAAUAUCUAUCUCUUUCCUUAGCUAUUUCCCUUCAAAUGUCUCCACAAAGUUUGACAAUAAGAAUGAAGAACCAAUGUCGAUUCUUGGUCGUAUAAUGCUUUCAUAACACAUUUUUGUCACUAUCCAUUUCGUCGCCUGAUUCCAUAUUGCUUCAGCGAUUACCAGAAGUCCAAAUCCACACCUGAUUGCUUCCAAUAAAACUAUCCAAUUGAUGUGGUAACCAAAUGAUAUCAAUGGCAAAGCAAUAAUGAUGUCACAACGAAAUAAACCUUUUGUCGAUACAUCACAAUGAAGAGGCAGAGUCACUCUCUGCUUCUUCACUUACUCUCUCUCUCUUUUCGCACUUAGCACACACACCCUACUAGAUAGAGCAGCUCAACAAUGGCUUACCCAAAUCGUCAGCCCUAAACAAGUCAUCAAGCGCUAAAAAGACAACUCUCUUUGCACUAGCUCCACC
This 8047-nucleotide long non-coding RNA is filed under the name Capsicum annuum. RNAcentral describes it as "long non-coding RNA (CANN_LNC008573)". Lineage: Eukaryota; Viridiplantae; Streptophyta; Magnoliopsida; Solanales; Solanaceae. The record is from RNAcentral.